RNAcentral lists this non-coding RNA (55 nucleotides) under unclassified sequences. The record is from RNAcentral.
UUAGUAACUCCGCCAUCGCCGGUCCCCAGCCCGGGUGAGAGAGGAGGAGGGCUAG